GACGAACCGUCCAAACGUUAUUCGGAAUUACUGGGCUUAAAGGGUGCGUAGGCGGCGCGGAAAGUUGGGUGUGAAAUCCCUCGGCUCAACCGAGGAACUGCGCUCAAUACUGCCGUGCUCGAGGGAGAUAGAGGUGAGCGGAACUUAGGGUGGAGCGGUGAAAUGCGUUGAUAUCCUAAGGAACACCGGUGGCGAAAGCGGCUCACUGGAUCUCUUCUGACGCUGAGGCACGAAAGCUAGGGUAGCAAAC
RNAcentral lists this ribosomal RNA (250 nucleotides) under uncultured bacterium. RNAcentral describes it as "partial 16S ribosomal RNA". It matches the Rfam family "Bacterial small subunit ribosomal RNA", at positions 524 to 773 of the family's 1533-position model. The record is from RNAcentral.